This 433-nucleotide ribosomal RNA is filed under the name uncultured bacterium. RNAcentral describes it as "bacterial SSU rRNA". It matches the Rfam family "Bacterial small subunit ribosomal RNA", at positions 340 to 786 of the family's 1533-position model. The record is from RNAcentral.
UACGGAAGGCAGCAGGGGGAAUAUUGGACAAUGGGCGAAAGCCUGAUCCAGCCAUGCCGCAUGAGUGAAGAAGGCCUUCGGGUUGUAAAGCUCUUUUAGUGAGAAAGAUAAUGACGGUACUCACAGAAGAAGUCCUGGCUAACUCCGUGCCAGCAGCCGCGGUAAUACGGAGAGGGCUAGCGUUAUUCGGAAUUAUUGGGCGUAAAGAGCGCGUAGGCUGAUUAGUAAGUUAAAAGUGAAAUCCCAAAGCUUAACUUUGGAAUUGCUUUUUAAAACUGCUAGUCUAGAGAUUUGAAAGAGGAUAGAGGAAUUCCUAGUGUAGAGGUGAAAUUCGUAAAUAUUAGGAGGAACACCAGUGGCGAAGGCGUCUAUCUGGUUCAAAUCUGACGCUGAGGCGCGAAGGGCGUGGGGAGCGAAACAGGGAUUAGAUACC